CGUCACCGAAGAAGACCCUCUACGUCCUGACCAGCGUUGAGCUACAGAAGAAAUAUAAAGGGAGAUGUUUGGAUAAGGUGGCGUUCACUCUCCCUUACGGCAGAUCUAUAAAACUAUGUAAGAAGAAAGAAAGACCACCUACCUGUUACCCAAUGCUAACUUCCAUGCAACGUUUGAGUCUGAUUCCCUCCGUAACUACCCAGGCUUUGACAUCACUGUACAACAUGUCCCAAGCAGUUGCCAUUUAACCAUUGACCUGAGCUCUGGUGGAUUAACUUCUGGGUACAUAUACACACCUAAUUUCCCCAGAAUGCACCCGAAAAAUACCCAGUGUGAAUGGUGGAUUAAGGCUCCCUCAGGCAAAAGAAUAGUAAUUAACAUCCAGAAAAUCAGGAUCAAAAGUUCUCCAGGCUGCAGUAAGGCAUACGUGGUAGUCGACAAGUCAGGCACGGCUCAGUACCAGCCAGCCACCAGCAUCAUCCUCUGCGGCAAAGUCAGAGGCGCCGAAUUUACAUCCACCAGCGACACUCUCAACGUUGUGUUCGAUGGCGGGAAGAAACGUCCAAAGGCAUGAAGGGCUACUAUAGGGUUAUAAAUUAAUG
Molecule: long non-coding RNA, 602 nt
Organism: Homarus americanus (American lobster)
Lineage: Eukaryota; Metazoa; Arthropoda; Malacostraca; Decapoda; Nephropidae
Exons: 3
Source: RefSeq, a predicted model, not a curated record